AAAUGAAUUGACGGGGACCCGCACAAGCGGUGGAUUAUGUGGUUUAAUUCGAUGCAACGCGAAGAACCUUACCAAGCCUUGACAUCCGAGGCGAAGCUCUGGAGACAGAGUGGAGGCUAUCCGAAGGACAGGUGGUGCAUGGUUGUCGUCAGCUCGUGUCGUGAGAUGUUGGGUUAAGUCCCGCAACGAGCGCAACCCCUGUCUUCAGUUACCAUCAUUCAGUUGGGGACUCUGGAGAGACUGCCGGUGACAAACCGGAGGAAGGUGGGGAUGACGUCAAAUCAGCAUGCCCCUUAUGGCUUGGGCUACACACGUAAUACAAUGGCGCAUACAAAGGGCAGCGAUCCUGUGAAGGUGAGCGAAUCUCAUAAAGUGCGUCUCAGUUCGGAUUGGAGUCUGCAACUCGACUCCAUGAAGUCGGAAUCGCUAGUAAUCGUGGAUCAGCAUGCCACGGUGAAUACGUUCCCGGGUCUUGUACACACCGCCCGU
This 489-nucleotide ribosomal RNA is filed under the name uncultured bacterium. RNAcentral's name for it is "bacterial SSU rRNA". It matches the Rfam family "Bacterial small subunit ribosomal RNA", at positions 903 to 1397 of the family's 1533-position model. The record is from RNAcentral.